UACGUAGGGUGCAAGCGUUACUCGGAAUUACUGGGCGUAAAGCGUGCGUAGGUGGUUCGUUAAGUCUGUCGUGAAAGCCCCGGGCUCAACCUGGGAAUGGCGAUGGAUACUGGCGGGCUAGAGUGCGGUAGAGGAGAGUGGAAUUCCCGGUGUAGCAGUGAAACGCGUAGAGAUCGGGAGGAACAUCAGUGGCGAAGGCGGCUCUCUGGACCAGCACUGACACUGAGGCGCGAAAGCGUGGGGAGCGAACAGG
This 253-nucleotide ribosomal RNA is filed under the name uncultured bacterium. RNAcentral's name for it is "partial 16S ribosomal RNA". It matches the Rfam family "Bacterial small subunit ribosomal RNA", at positions 524 to 776 of the family's 1533-position model. The record is from RNAcentral.